AGUUUGAUCAUGGCUCAGAGUGAACGCUGGCGGCAGGCCUAAUACAUGCAAGUCGAACGGCAGCACAGCAGAGCUUGCUCUGUGGGUGGCGAGUGGCGGACGGGUGAGGAAUACGUGGGAAUCUGCCCAGUCGUGGGGAUAACGUAGGGAAACUUACGCUAAUACCGCAUGCGCCCUUCGGGGGAAAGCCGGGGACCUUCGGGCCUGGCGCGAUUGGAUGAGCCCACGUCGGAUUAGCUAGUUGGCGGGUAAAGGCCCACCAAGGCGACGAUCCGUAGCUGGUCUGAGAGGAUGAUCAGCCACACUGGAACUGAGACACGGUCCAGACUCCUACGGGAGGCAGCAGUAGGGAAUAUUGGACAAUGGGCGCAAGCCUGAUCCAGCCAUGCCGCGUGAGUGAAGAAGGCCCUCGGGUUGUAAAGCUCUUUUGUCCGGAAAGAAAAGCGCCGGGUUAAUACCCUGGUGUCCUGACGGUACCGGAAGAAUAAGCACCGGCUAACUUCGUG
This 506-nucleotide ribosomal RNA is filed under the name uncultured bacterium. RNAcentral's name for it is "bacterial SSU rRNA". It matches the Rfam family "Bacterial small subunit ribosomal RNA", at positions 10 to 507 of the family's 1533-position model. The record is from RNAcentral.